GACGAACGCUGGCGGCGUGCUUAACACAUGCAAGUCGAACGGAAAGGCUCCAGCUUGCUGGAGUACUCGAGUGGCGAACGGGUGAGUAACACGUGGGUAAUCUGCCCUGCACUCUGGGAUAAGCCUGGGAAACUGGGUCUAAUACUGGAUAUGACCUUUCUCCUUAUGGGGUUUGGUGGAAAGUUUUUCGGUGCAGGAUGAGCCCGCGGCCUAUCAGCUUGUUGGUGGGGUGAUGGCCUACCAAGGCGACGACGGGUAGCCGGCCUGAGGGGGUGAUCGGCCACAUUGGGACUGAGAUACGGCCCAGACUCCUACGGGAGGCAGCAGUGGGGAAUAUUGCACAAUGGGCGGAAGCCUGAUGCAGCGACGCCGCGUGAGGGAUGACGGCCUUCGGGUUGUAAACCUCUUUCAGCAGGGACGAAGCGUAAGUGACGGUACCUGCAGAAGAAGCACCGGCUAACUAUGUG
RNAcentral lists this ribosomal RNA (467 nucleotides) under uncultured bacterium. RNAcentral's name for it is "partial 16S ribosomal RNA". It matches the Rfam family "Bacterial small subunit ribosomal RNA", at positions 28 to 507 of the family's 1533-position model. The record is from RNAcentral.